Molecule: transfer RNA, 71 nt
Filed under: Candidatus Pacearchaeota archaeon
Lineage: Archaea; Nanobdellati
Description: tRNA-Val
Rfam family: tRNA
About the family: Transfer RNA (tRNA) molecules are approximately 80 nucleotides in length.
Source: RNAcentral
GGCCCUAUAGUCUAGUGGUAAAACGACUCGUUUACACCGAGUAGUCCGCAGUUCGAUUCUGCGUGGGGCCA